GAGAGGUCCAGCCUGCCCAGUGACUAAGUUCAACGGCCGCGGUAUCCUAACCGUGCGAAGGUAGCGUAAUCACUUGUUCUUUAAAUGAGGACUAGUAUGAAUGGCACCACGAGGGUUGUACUGUCUCCUUUUUUUAAUCAAUGAAACUGAUCUCCCCGUGAAGAAGCGGGGAUAAAAAUAUAAGACGAGAAGACCCUAUGGAGCUUUAAACAAUUAUAGCACUGGCCCACAUCUCCUAUUCUUCUGAGAUAUAACUAUUAUACAGGCCAACAUGACUAUUAGUUUUAGGUUGGGGUGACCGCGGAGCAAAAACCAACCUCCACGUUGAACGGAGCUAUUCCUGAGCUAAAAACUACAACUUUAAGCACCAAUAAACUGACAUUAAUUGACCCA
This 393-nucleotide ribosomal RNA is filed under the name Dendropsophus minusculus (Rivero's tiny treefrog). RNAcentral's name for it is "partial 16S ribosomal RNA". It matches the Rfam family "Bacterial large subunit ribosomal RNA", at positions 1847 to 2422 of the family's 2925-position model. Lineage: Eukaryota; Metazoa; Chordata; Amphibia; Anura; Hylidae. The record is from RNAcentral.